CGUGUGUCAAAUCAAGGUUGUACAGGUGAAUACAUACCAUCAUAUAAGAAGCUUGGGUUACAAAUGACCUUGGUAAAGUGACAUCUCUCAAAAUGUCAAGUCCUUUUAUUUAUUUAUUUUUUACCACUAAAGCCUGCAAUAUUAAUGCUCUGGGGGAAAAAAAAAAGUGCAGUGUUGUACAUCCAUUUAUAUGGAUUAAAGAGAC
Pelobates cultripes (western spadefoot toad) is the source of this 205-nucleotide non-coding RNA. NCBI's taxonomy places the organism in Eukaryota, Metazoa, Chordata, Amphibia, Anura, Pelobatidae. The record is from the annotation of a GenBank genome assembly.